AGAGUUUGAUCCUGGCUCAGGACGAACGCUGGCGGCGCGCUUAACACAUGCAAGUCGAGCGAGAACCAGGCCUUCGGGCCUGGGGACAGCGGCGAACGGGUGAGUAACACGUGGGUAAUCUGCCCUCGAUACUGGGAUAGCCCGGGGAAACCCGGAUUAAUACCGGAUGGCCCUUCGAGUCUUUCGGACUUGAAGGAAAAGGUAGCUUCGGCCUCCGAUCGAGGAUGAGCCCGCGGCGGAUUAGCUUGUUGGUGAGGUAACGGCCCACCAAGGCGACGAUCCGUAGCUGGUCUGAGAGGACGAUCAGCCACACUGGGACUGAGACACGGCCCAGACUCCUACGGGAGGCAGCAGUGGGGAAUCUUGCCCAAUGGGCGAAAGCCUGAGGCAGCGACGCCGCGUGCGGGAAGAAGGCCUUACGGGUUGUAAACCGCUUUCAGGAGGGACGAAGCCACUCGGGUUAAUAGCCCAGAGGGUGACGGUACCUCCAGAAGAAGCCCCAGCUAACUACGUGCCAGCAGCCGCGGUAAUACGUAGGGGGCAAGCGUUGUGCGGAUUUAUUGGGCGUAGAGAGCGUGUACGCGGCUAGAUAGGUCCGUAGUGAAAACUCGACGCUCAAGCNCGAGACGCGGAUGGAAGCGAUCUAGCUAGAGUCCAGAGCAAGAAACGUGGAUUUUCUCGGUGUACCUGUGAAAUGCUCCCAUNUCAGGANGACAGCCCUUGGCAAAGGCUGCCCUCUUGGUACCUGACUGACCCUGAUACCCCAAAAACCUGGGGA
RNAcentral lists this ribosomal RNA (778 nucleotides) under uncultured bacterium. RNAcentral's name for it is "bacterial SSU rRNA". It matches the Rfam family "Bacterial small subunit ribosomal RNA", at positions 8 to 767 of the family's 1533-position model. The record is from RNAcentral.